Molecule: non-coding RNA, 119 nt
Organism: Schistosoma margrebowiei
Lineage: Eukaryota; Metazoa; Platyhelminthes; Trematoda; Strigeidida; Schistosomatidae
Source: Rfam
GCCGGCGACCAUACCACAUUGAAAGCACCGGUUCUCGUCCGAUCACCGCAGUUAAGCAACGCUGGGCCCGGUCAGUACUUGCAUGGAUGACCGGCUGGGAAUACAGGGUGUCACCGGCU